UUGAAGCCAAUUUUGUAGCUAUAAUCUAAGAAGCAUUCUUAUAGCUUGAUUUAAACAAUCUGUUGUGUUUAAGAACAUGAAGUGAAUUUUGCAGUUUUUCGUUUUGCUGGAGUAUGUGCUAGUUGAAUUCUUAAAACUGAUUUGAAGCCAAUUUCGCACCGGUAAUCCUCUUCUUUACAAAGAUACUGGCAGGAAGAUGCUCAUGAAUUCUUCCAGUGCAUGCUGGACAGGCUUCACAGUUUCUACGUGGACUUGAAACUGCAAGAUGAGCCCUCAUCUUCACAUGCUAACAACUUCAUAAACCAGAUUUUUGGAGGCCGUCUUAGAAGCCAGGUAUAAGCUAUAACAGAUAAUACUUCUUUAGCCGUUUUUUAAAAUUAUUUUUCUUAAAUUUCUAGACAAAUCAGAUAUGACCAUUAUUCACUGCGUGAGAUUGCAAACUAACUAUUUAUUUUUUUCUUUUUAAUUUUCUUUUGAAUAUCACCUUUAAUGUGGCAAUUGUGGCCUCAAGAUUUUCGGGGAGCUUUUCUUACACCUUUUAACUUGGGGAGCUUUUCUUCAUUCAUAGGAGUAUUUUGGACAAUCCCAAUUUUACCUAUGAUUCAGAAAUUUUUUCUAAUGAUUGAUACUCGGCAUACUCUGGGUAACCAUGACAGGAAGUGAGAGAUUGUAGCUAAUGAAUGAGCUUAGAGGCCGAGUCCAAACCACUUUGGACAGGGUUAUAGACUGAGCUUAGAAGCCCAUGGAUUGAACCCAGUCUUGAGAUUCACACCCAAUAGCUAAUUGUUAUGUAAGAUGGACAUCAGAUAAACGAUAGUUGUUAGCCAAAAUCAAGCCAUGGAUUCCUCAAUAACUGCUUCCAUGUAAUGUAAUUGCAUCCAUUGCAUACACUGGAUGUUUUGUUUCUUCAUCCAGUGGUAUUAUGUCAUCCAAUAUAACACUAUUCCGUUAGGAACAAAUUGAAACAUGUGAGGCCUUUCCUGCAUAACAAAUGGUAAACAAUGUUGAAACUAGACCAAGGAAAACUACAAGGAGCUAACAGGAUGAAAACUACAAGCAAAACAGCAAUGAAACUUGGCAUUUUUAAUUCUCGAACUGGCAUUUCUUUUAACUUCCACACUUGUGCUGUCCACAUGCUUGGUUGGUAAUGCGUGAUUUUUAUAAACAUGCAGGGACUUCCUUUCUCUUUAAUGACACUUAAAUAUUCUAAUUUGGCUGGAUCCUUUCUUAUUGUUUUUGGUUUGUCUGGUGACUCUUUAUCAGCUUACCUAUGGGCAGUGGCAGUAAUCUUUGUUUGGAAUUCAAUUCACUUGUGCAUCCAAAAGCGGCCUAAAUCAGCUUAAGUCAGUUAGGAAAUAGACAUGGAUACUCUCAUUUCUUAUUUCCAUCUUUCUGAUAACAUCAUCAAUGUAAGUUGAUUUGGGGUUGCCAUUGACACUGGGGAAUGUGACUGUUCUCCAGCUCAAGCUAAAGUGAGGAAGACAUUUUAUACAAAUGUUCCUGAUGAAUAUAUGCUAGCUGUUGAAGAUCUGGUUGUCCCAAGAAUGAAUUUGGUAAUGCAUCAGAGAAAGAGCAUUACCAUGUGAAGGUGCUUGACAAACAUGGAGUGACUCUUUCAUGCAAAUGUUCUACAACAGAAAAUGGUGGAAAACUUGAGCUUCGUAAGGCAAGUAUUAUGCCUUCCUCUAGUCAAUAUUCAUAACUAGAUGCUAUUAGUUAAAUGCAUGUGCAUUGCAUUUAGGAAAUAAUUCAAAGUAUGCAAAAGAACAAUAAAAUCACGGAUCGCUCCAUGAUUUAUAUGAUCGAGGUUAAUCUGUGUAUGUUGAUUGCUCUCUGGGGACCAAAAUGUGUCCAGAAAUGGAUCCAUCCACACAUGAGUGAACCAUUGUUCUGUCCAUUAGAUGGUAUACAUGUCAAAAAUCCAGCUCAUUCAUCAGGUAGUGUACACUUUGCACAUGCCCUGGGCCAAAAACUGAUGUUGGUCUGCUAAUCAAGGAAAAUUAUACUUCUAUGAGAAAAAUCCUAGUACACUGCACAUAUACUCAGGCCAAAGAUCAUGUUGCUCCUUUGUGAUAAAUGGGUUGGGAAUCUUAGAAUCGGAUUUUUGUGAAGGUUUUAGCAUUCUCAACCCCAAGGAUUGUGUAUGGAAUCCGCGAGCACUUAGUUCUCAACUGGUAAUCUUUGUUGGGAGGUCGGGAAAUACAGACCAUUGAUCCGAUGGGCCCUGCUAAAAUGCAGGUAAGAUUCUCACGUGCUUGUGUAAUUAGUGAAUGUAGGGGCAUCUGCAAUUAGCAUGAAACAGAAUUUCUAGAUGAAACAGAUCUCUUCCAUAAAGAGUGAUCAGAUACAAAAUUUUGGAUUCUUAGAUCGAUAUUUAGUCUGGUACAUGUUACAGGUUGAAUUAAUCAAAAAGCGGCAUUUCAUUGCAGAUACAUUAUGCCUCAUUAAGGAUUUCCACCCGAAGCUAACACUAUUUACUAGGGAGACUUUUGGACAACUACUGACCUCCAGGAAAGGAUUAUAUUGGAGACAGGUUCUCAAUUGGUGCAGUUUGGCACAACAGGUUUAAGGUUUUCAAAGGUAAAAUUUUUUCAAAAAUUGUUACUUAUUAGUUGUACGGUUUUGCCUGUUUGGCUAUAUCAGGUUGUGGCUGCAUGGAAAGUUGUAUUGCGAUAAACAUUUGUCGAAUGGAAAAUGGACAUUCAUGUGCAUUUAUAGUCUGAAAACAUUAAAUAGACUGUUAACUGUUUUA
Magnolia sinica is the source of this 2752-nucleotide long non-coding RNA. RefSeq lists it as uncharacterized. Lineage: Eukaryota; Viridiplantae; Streptophyta; Magnoliopsida; Magnoliales; Magnoliaceae. The transcript has 2 exons. The record is from RefSeq and is a predicted model, not a curated record.